CCGUCACACUUGCAAUUCAUAAUCUUCAACCUAGUCUCUGAACUCUUCACCACCCUCAAACCUCAGCCUCUUGCCCUCUCUAAACCACGCACGGUCGCACCAUCACAACCACUGACCGCCAUCGACUGCCACCUCUCGCUCAGUCCUUCAUCGCUACGGCGCUACCUCCCACCCCUCAGUCCGUCACCGCCACCUCUCACGCACUGUCGAGUGGAUGUCAGUCAGGUCACAAUACAUCACGCACACCACAGCAGGGAGUCCGUCAGUCAGAUCACGAUAUAUCACGCCGGUCGUCACCUCUUCUCUGUUCGUCGCACCUUUGCUUGUCUUCACCUCUUCGCGUCGGGUAACUGGAAUGUCUUCUUCAGAUGCAUUGAGUAAUACUCUUGAGAAGACUACUCCAUCGGAAGACCCUAUAGGCACUAAUAUUCAAACUACACAAGAGGCUCCUCAAUCUUAAUCUCAAAAACCCCCAACAGAUACCACAACUACUAAUGAAAGAACGACAAACUCUACAAGUGGUGUUCGAAAGAGGAAGUUAACCUCUGAAGUGUCGAAUCACUUUAAGAUUGUAGAAAUCAAGGGAAAAUUAAAGGUUGAAUGUAAUUAUUGCAAAGCGAAACUACUUGGUGACCCAAAAAAAGGCACUUCGCACUUAAGUUACAUGAUCACUUCAAAAGCUGCAAGCUCGGCACCACUAGAGAUAUAAGACAAUGUAUGAUGGAGACAACUCCAACAACUAGUGAGAAAACAGUUGUGGUUGGUGCAUAUACCUUCGACCAAGAAAAUGUAAGGAAAGAGUUAUCAGUUAUGGUUUGUCUUCAUGAGUAUCCGCUAUCUAUUGUGGACCACAUUGGGUUUUGAUGAUUCUGCAAUGCUUUGCAACCUCUCUUCAAGGUAAUUACUCGCAACACUUUAAAGAGUGACAUCUUGAAGUCUACAAUGAUGAGAGAUCGAAGACAAUGAAUGUCCUUGAGCGUAAUAAAAGUCGAGUUGCAAUUACAACUGAUAUAUGGACAGCAAGCAACCAAAACAAAGGUUAUAUGGCUAUCAUGGCUCAUUACAUUGAUGAUUCUUGGAAAUUGCAAAGCCGUCUUGUGAGGUAAUAAUAUUAUCAUUAUAGGUUCUUCUGAAUGUUUAUAUAUUUGCAAAGCUGUCUUGUUUACACAAUUGCAAAGCUAUCUUGUAUAUAAUUGUAAAGCUGUCUUGUUUAUAAUUGUACUAAAUUAUCAUUACAAGUUUAUAUAUGUGCCAGCUCCCCACACGGCUGAGGUACUUUCAGAGGUUCUUGUGGAUUGUUUGAUAGAUUGGAAUCUUGAUAGGAAGGUAUCCACUUUGACGGUUGAUAAUUGCAGUACUAAUGAUGUUAUGAUUGAGAAUAUUUUGACUAAAAUGUCACAUAGAAACUUUAUCUUGGGUGGUAAAUUAUUUCACA
Molecule: long non-coding RNA, 1435 nt
Organism: Arachis duranensis
Lineage: Eukaryota; Viridiplantae; Streptophyta; Magnoliopsida; Fabales; Fabaceae
Exons: 2
Source: RefSeq, a predicted model, not a curated record